GGGGCCAGGGAGGGAUACUGGGAGCAGUGGGAAGGGUAACUGGGAGCACUGGGAGGGCGCUGGGAGGGGUAACUGGGAGCACUGGGAGCAAUGGAAGGGAUACUGGGAGCACUGGGAGGGGUAACUGGGGGCAGUGGAAGGGAUACUGGGAGCACUGGGAGGG
Molecule: long non-coding RNA, 163 nt
Organism: Tympanuchus pallidicinctus (lesser prairie-chicken)
Lineage: Eukaryota; Metazoa; Chordata; Aves; Galliformes; Phasianidae
Exons: 3
Source: RefSeq, a predicted model, not a curated record